Molecule: small nucleolar RNA, 107 nt
Organism: Nicotiana attenuata
Lineage: Eukaryota; Viridiplantae; Streptophyta; Magnoliopsida; Solanales; Solanaceae
Rfam family: Plant small nucleolar RNA R71
About the family: R71 is a member of the C/D box family of snoRNAs containing the C (UGAUGA) and D (CUGA) box motifs. Multiple nearly identical copies of this snoRNA have been identified in Arabidopsis, and it is thought to function as a 2'-O-ribose methylation guide for 18S ribosomal RNA.
Source: Rfam
AUUCCAUUAUGCUGACAUCUUCUCACUAUUUCCUUGAAUCUUUCCCAAGUUUCAAAGACCGUUUCAGUGUCCUUCUGCCAGAAGUUAUGAAUUUCUCUUAUGAUUUC